This 253-nucleotide ribosomal RNA is filed under the name uncultured bacterium. RNAcentral's name for it is "partial 16S ribosomal RNA". It matches the Rfam family "Bacterial small subunit ribosomal RNA", at positions 524 to 776 of the family's 1533-position model. The record is from RNAcentral.
UACGUAGGGACCAAGCGUUGUUCGGAUUUACUGGGCGUAAAGGGCGCGUAGGCGGCGUGUUAAGUCACUUGUGAAAUCUCUGAGCUUAACUCAGAACGGUCAAGUGAUACUGAUGUGCUAGAGUGCAGAAGGGGCAACCGGAAUUCUUGGUGUAGCGGUGAAAUGCGUAGAUAUCAGGAGGAAUACCGAUGGCGAAGGCAGGUCUCUGGGCUGACACUGACGCUCAUGCACGAAAGCGUGGGGAGCAAACAGG